RNAcentral lists this ribosomal RNA (460 nucleotides) under uncultured bacterium. Its description in RNAcentral is "partial 16S ribosomal RNA". It matches the Rfam family "Bacterial small subunit ribosomal RNA", at positions 338 to 795 of the family's 1533-position model. The record is from RNAcentral.
CCUACGGGAGGCAGCAGUGAGGAAUAUUGGUCAAUGGGCGCGAGCCUGAACCAGCCAAGCAGCGUGAAGGAUGACUGCCCUACGGGUUGUAAACUUCUUUUAUAAAGGAAUAAAGUGCGUUACGUGUGCCUUUUUGUAUGUACUUUACGAAUAAGGAUCGGCUAACUCCGUGCCAGCAGCCGCGGUAAUACGGAGGAUCCGAGCGUUGUCCGGAUUUAUUGGGUUUAAAGGGAGCGUAGAUGGGUUGUUAAGUCAGUUGUGAAAGUUUGCGGCUCAACCUUAAGAUUGCAAUUGAUACUGGAAGUCUUGAGUACAGUUGAGGUAGGCGGAAUGCGUGGUGUAGCGGUGAAAUGCAUAGAUAUCACGAAGAACUCCGAUUGCGAAGGCAGCUUACUAAACUGCAACUGACAUUGAUGCUCGAAAGUGUGGGUAUCAAACAGGAUUAGAUACCCGAGUAGUC